AUUGCAGGCAGCGGAAGCUGCUGUCAACGCCCCUGAAGAAUCCCUAUGAAGAGUCGAGCGGGGAUGUGAGCAGCAGCACGCCCCCACCUGACGAGGAUGGGGCGUCUUCUCGCCCCCAGCCUUGGUUUGUGGUUUUAAAGGAACACCAAGAGCUCAAGUGUGGCAGUCAGCCGGUGGGCCCGACGGACAUUCAGGCAGCAGACGUUGGUCAGCUUCCUUCUCUGGAACCUGGAUCGGUGCAGCCAACUUCAUAUGGAAAGUAGCCCCAACCUCAUGGAAUGGGCACAGAGUAAAGCUACUGGAGCCCACUAUUGACUAAUAACGCCUCCAGUCCCCAGGGAAUCGAACAAAACCUUCAUCUACCCUCCUCUGUCACACAGGCCUUUGCUGUGGAUAUCGAGAAGGCUCAUUCUUCUUCCGUCAGCUAAGCUGUAUGUCCACAAAGGGCUUCUGAUCCACUGUGCUGCAUCCAAUAAGAUCAAUGGAGCCAACUAUGAAAAAUCGGAAUUAAAGGGAAGGUCAAGGUGGACAAAUGAACAAAUUGUGUCAAUGAAGAGUGUAUUUUCUUUUCGAAAGUAGAGGGGAAAAAAACCAGAUUCUGGCUCCUUAGAUGUCUGUGCAAUCAACCAAGUAGAUAAAUAUAUAACGGUGCCUUUUGUUUGUUCCUUCGGGAGGUUCUAGGGCAGAUUUUCAAAGAAGAAUAAUCAGGAGACUCACUAGGUAACUCAUUAGUAACCAAAAUGGAGAUGGUAGUGAUUUGAAAAUUGUGUUAUCUUCAAUCAACAAAUCUAUAAAUAGAUUUCCCCCCUCUGCCCACCAGUCUGCAGUCACAGAAGAUAUCCGGUAAAAAUAGGUAGCCACACAGGUUUGGCCAAUUACAAGGUAUUGUUUUCUUUCACCUCAGCAGAACAUUCAGCUUAAUCUUAUGGAAUGAUUAGAAUAUAAAAUUACUGCUAGAGACACUCUACAACAAAGACACAAGAGACUAAUGAAACCAAUCCAGAUGACAAUCCUGGAAUUGCUGAGUUUCAAAGGAAAGGAUAGAGACAUGGAUUUAUCUGUGAGU
Long non-coding RNA from Echinops telfairi (small Madagascar hedgehog), 1066 nucleotides. RefSeq lists it as uncharacterized. The record is from RefSeq and is a predicted model, not a curated record. NCBI's taxonomy places the organism in Eukaryota, Metazoa, Chordata, Mammalia, Afrosoricida, Tenrecidae. The transcript has 3 exons.